Arachis duranensis is the source of this 1249-nucleotide long non-coding RNA. RefSeq lists it as uncharacterized. Lineage: Eukaryota; Viridiplantae; Streptophyta; Magnoliopsida; Fabales; Fabaceae. The transcript has 6 exons. The record is from RefSeq and is a predicted model, not a curated record.
UGUUCCGCCGCCGUCGAACUAUCAAGCCCAGAAGAGAGAGUUGCCGUUGUACUGUCGAGAAGAGAGAGCUUGCGCAGAGAGGGAGAACUCGCGAAGGAGGGGUUGCUGCCCAUAGUCGCCGCCGUUCGUUUCUUGUCGUCACCGUUCUGCCUUCCAUCAAGCUCGAACAGUCACUGUUCGUGGAGCUUGCCGCCAUCGCCGUUCAAGCUGCUGCUGCCGCCGUCACACGCGACACCACCGAAGUUCCCCUCAUCGUCGUCGACUCAUCUGCGACUUCGUUCCCCAAAGGCUCAUCACCCUGCUCAUGGUGGCUUUGUUUGCUCAUAACCUUUUGGUUGGAGGCUUUGUUCAUCUUGCUGUUGUUGUCGUCAUUCAUUUGUUCUUCUCCAUUUCUUUGUGGUUGCUUUUCUUCUCUGUUUGUUGUUGUUACUCACUUGUUCUCUUCUCCAAUCAAAGUGUAUCAAGAAGUUUUAAUUGGAGCAUGCACAAAUGUGAAUAUCUAUUACUGGAAGGCCAUACUUGCUAUUCCAUCAUGGGUAUCCAUUCUUCUUGCAUCACUGGUUGAGAAGUGAGGCUUGUGAGCAAAGAAUCCGAACAUCGUGGUGGAGGAUCUCUCAUUCUUUGUUUUCUGGAUUUUGCGAAUUUAACUUGUGGAGCAACUGCAAUGAGUGCCUUGCAAGAUGUGCUCAAAGAAAAACUUGAAGAGCAACAAACACGACAAGAGGAAGAAUUAGCUCGAGUGAAAGCUCAAUUGGAAACUCAACAAGCCAUUGUAAACUCUUUCAUAACGCGCUUUGACAACGAAAGAAAUAGACAAUUAAAGGUACCCCUAAAAUUUCUUAUGGUUUUAAUACAUAUUCAUAGAUGAUUCAUAUAUUAUUAGUAUAGUUUAAUUGUAUAUGGAUGUAUUUAUUAUAUUUUACUUGUGACAUGGUUGAUAAAUGACAAAUGUUCUAUUAUUUGGUUUGAUAAAUUUGGUUGUGUAUUGGAUGAGAAAUAAGUAAUGAAUUAGUUGUUAUUGAUUGAACCAUAGACGGUGAAAAUAUCCAAGUUUUAGAGAGGUUCUGCCAAAAUUUUUCUAAAGAUUUGAAUAAAAGUUAAUGAAAAAAAUUGUAAUUGGUGUUAUAUCUUGUUUCUAAAUGACUCAAGAAUAUUUUGAUUCAUAGAGACACUAAUCUAUGUUAGACUUUUAACUUUUAGUCGAACUUGUGUAAGAAAUAUAACUCGUAGAACUAAUCAAUAUAGACAU